UUCUAUCCACCAAACAGAAGCAAAAUCAGUGAACUCAUUAGUAGCACACACGUGUAUUUUUAGGAAAUUCAUGACAUGCAAGCUUUUGAUCAACAACAAUUUCCCAAGUAAUGUAUGCUUCAGGAUCAUAUUUACCAUCAAAAGGAGGUAUCUUAAAUUUUAUCUUACUGAAAGCAUCAUCAUUAUUAUGUACCUCACAUCGUUGGUAACCACCCAUACCUCUUUGAUUAUUACGUAGCCGUCGGCGAUUAUGAGCGUCUGGGUCAUUUUGUUCAGUAUCAGCAUCCCAAUUGUCCUCGACACGCUC
RNAcentral lists this long non-coding RNA (307 nucleotides) under Setaria viridis. RNAcentral describes it as "long non-coding RNA (SVIR_LNC005584)". Lineage: Eukaryota; Viridiplantae; Streptophyta; Magnoliopsida; Poales; Poaceae. The record is from RNAcentral.